UGCGCCAAGGAAAACCGAACGAAGCGUCCGCCCCCGGAAUCCCGUUCGCGGAGCGUGCCGCGGGAUCGGGCGUCUAUCAAUUGUCAAAACGACUCUCGGCAACGGAUAUCUCGGCUCUCGCAUCGAUAAAGAACGUAGCGAAAUGCUAUACUUGGUGUGAAUUGCAGAAUCCCGUGAACCAUCGAGUCUUUGAACGCAAGUUGCGCCCGAAGCCAUUAGGCCGAGGGCACGUCUGCCUGGGCGUCACGC
Molecule: ribosomal RNA, 249 nt
Filed under: Clinopodium vanum
Lineage: Eukaryota; Viridiplantae; Streptophyta; Magnoliopsida; Lamiales; Lamiaceae
Description: 5.8S ribosomal RNA
Rfam family: 5.8S ribosomal RNA (bases 91-246)
About the family: 5.8S ribosomal RNA (5.8S rRNA) is a component of the large subunit of the eukaryotic ribosome.
Source: RNAcentral